This 253-nucleotide ribosomal RNA is filed under the name uncultured bacterium. Its description in RNAcentral is "partial 16S ribosomal RNA". It matches the Rfam family "Bacterial small subunit ribosomal RNA", at positions 524 to 776 of the family's 1533-position model. The record is from RNAcentral.
UACAGAGGUCUCAAGCGUUGUUCGGAAUCACUGGGCGUAAAGGGUGCGUAGGCCGCACGGUAAGUCAGAGGUGAAAUCCCGGAGCUCAACUUCGGAAUUGCCUCCGAUACUGCCGUGCUUGAGGACUGGAGAGGAGAUUGGAAUUCACAGUGGAGCAGUGAAAUGCGUAGAUAUCGUAAGGAAGACCAGUGGCGAAGGCGGGUCUCUGGACAGUUCCUGACGCUGAGGCACGAAGGUCAGGGGAGCAAACGGG